RNAcentral lists this long non-coding RNA (316 nucleotides) under Olea europaea subsp. europaea. The record is from RNAcentral. Lineage: Eukaryota; Viridiplantae; Streptophyta; Magnoliopsida; Lamiales; Oleaceae.
GCCAAGAUCAUUCACUGGGACAUAAAGGCUGCAAACAUAUUGCUCGAUGGUUACUGUGAGGCUGUCAUAGGAUAUUUUGGAUCGAUAAGGCUUUUGGAUCAUCAUGAUUCACAUAUCACGAUGGCCAUUGGGGGCAUUUUAGGACAUGUAGCCCUCAAGUAUCUCUCUACAGGCCAAUCCUCGGAAAAAACAGAUUUUUUCGGGUUUGGAAUACUCCUGUUAGAAUUGAUCACCAGUCAAAGGGCUUCAGAAUUCGGGAAAGCAGAAAAUCAGAAGGACCUAUUCUUGAUUGGGUAAGUACCAAUAGAAAACAAAG